CGAGCGGUAGAGAGAAGCRGGGGUGCUUUUCGAGCGGCGGACGGGUGAGUAAGGAAAGAGARUCUGCCUGGUAGUGGGGGAUAACGUUCGGAAACGGACGCUAAUACCGCAUACGAUUUACGGGAGAAAGCAGGGGACCUUCGGGCCUUGCGCUAUCAGAUGAGCCUAGGUCGGAUUAGCUAGUUGGUGAGGUAAUGGCUCACCAAGGCGACGAUCCGUAACUGGUCUGAGAGGAUGAUCAGUCACACUGGAACUGAGACACGGUCCAGACUCCUACGGGAGGCAGCAGUGGGGAAUAUUGGACAAGUGGCGAAAGCCUGAUCCAGCCAUGCCGCGUGUGUGAAGAAGGUCUUCGCAUUGUAAAGCACUUUAAUGUUGGGAGGAAGGGUUGUA
This 393-nucleotide ribosomal RNA is filed under the name bacterium ER-V-4. Its description in RNAcentral is "bacterial SSU rRNA". It matches the Rfam family "Bacterial small subunit ribosomal RNA", at positions 63 to 458 of the family's 1533-position model. The record is from RNAcentral.